This 255-nucleotide long non-coding RNA is filed under the name Elaeis guineensis (African oil palm). RNAcentral's name for it is "long non-coding RNA (EGUI_LNC068820)". The record is from RNAcentral. Lineage: Eukaryota; Viridiplantae; Streptophyta; Magnoliopsida; Arecales; Arecaceae.
UUAGAUAGUAUGUUCCGAGCUGGACUACCUCCUUGACUUCAUACGGGCCUUCCCAGUUCGGGGCAAGCUUCCCUUGGGUCUGAGGUUGUGAAACAGUGGCUCGCCUAAGUACUAAGUCCCCCACUCUGAAGGUUUUACUCUUGAUCCGAAAGUUGUAGUAGCGGGCUGCUUUCUGCUUGUAGGCUGCCAUCCGAACUUGAGCUAUCUCCUGCUUCUCUUCUAACAAGUCGAGGUUGGCCUUGAGAUCCUGUGAGU